RNAcentral lists this transfer RNA (73 nucleotides) under Dipodomys ordii (Ord's kangaroo rat). It matches the Rfam family "tRNA". Rfam says of the family: Transfer RNA (tRNA) molecules are approximately 80 nucleotides in length. The record is from Rfam by way of RNAcentral. Lineage: Eukaryota; Metazoa; Chordata; Mammalia; Rodentia; Heteromyidae.
GGAGGUGUGGCUUGAGUGGUAAAACAUCAGCCUGGCAAGUAUAAGGCCCUAAAUUCAAAUCUCAGUACUUCCA